RNAcentral lists this long non-coding RNA (4693 nucleotides) under Ananas comosus (pineapple). RNAcentral describes it as "long non-coding RNA (ACOM_LNC038689)". Lineage: Eukaryota; Viridiplantae; Streptophyta; Magnoliopsida; Poales; Bromeliaceae. The record is from RNAcentral.
CUAGGUUUAAUGCCACUCGAUCUAAUGUAUAUAGAUUGUCCAUAUGCACAUUUCCAUUUCUUAACAUUAGUAUCUCUACAACAUGAUCAUCAAGUAUAUCUUAGCAUUAGCCACAUGCUUGCAUUUAUUAUUUCUACAUCAUGCUUAUCAUACCAUUACUUAGCAUUAUCCCCAUGCAUGCUUAUCAUGUAAACUUUAACAUUACUCAAUGCAUUCAUCUAGCACUAUUUACACUAAGUCAUCAUGCAUUCCUCUUAUCAUGUUCUUAUAAUGUUAACAUUCAUAUGCCCUUUAUCUUAUGCAUUCAAAGCAUUAAUCACAUGCAUUUAUCUAGCAUUUCUAUAAUAUGUUAACAUGCAUUCUUUUCACAUUCUUACAUUAUGUCAAAUGCAUUCCUCUAGCAUUUCACAUUAUAUGUCAACAUGCAUCAAUAUGAAAUCUCAUUUCUUAGACAUAAAGGGCGACCUAGUCGCUUCGGUAAGCACAACCCACCUCAUUUCGCAUUCCGAUUGCUUGUCGACACUUACAAUCGACCGCCCGCGGCACCCGUAUCCGGCACGGCCCGAUACUGCAACUGCGCCUCAACCGUGCUCCGCUUCGCAGCCCCGAAAAUUAUAGGUCUUCGGUUAUGUGCCACGAUGCCUCAAAUCCAUUUCCACGAUUUUACGACGUCGCCUCGGCCCUCCCGGCGGACCCGAAGCCUAAACGUCCAUUUCUUUAAUAACUUUGUAACGGCUCGUCGGAUUGCCGAACCGUCUUCGCCAACGCGUUUCGUUACCUAGCAAUUAGGUUUACGAAGGAUCAAAUGAGAUCAAACCCUCAUAUUUUGAAAGUUUGCAUUUUUGUGCCCUAAUAUGAAUUAACCUCUAAAUAAUCCAAAUCAAAUGGAGUAAACAUGUUUAGAAUGCUCAUUAGAGGCUAUUAGAACACUUAAAACUAAGGAUUAAGCCAAAUCCUAAAAGCUUACCUCAAUGUGAACGCCGCGACGACAACACACCGCUCCAACGGCCGCACGAAAGCCCGAUCCGUCGCCUCCAACGCGUUCGCAAGCAUCUUCUCCACCAACCCUCCAAUUUUUAGAGAGAGAUUUAGAGAGAUGAGAGAGAUAUCUAGAGAGAGAUAGAGGUGUUUCUCUCUCUACUCUAUGCGUGCGUGGGUGUGUGCUCGGGCUGAAGGAGAAAGAAGAAGAAGCAUCAGCUUCUUUAUAAUGCACCCCAAGGCACUAUUCACUUCAGGCAGUUUUUGCAGUUCGGAACAGUUGGAGCCCUUCUGAAUGUCUGUUUGAGCUCAAAUUUGACAGGCAGGCUCAGUUUAACGUACUAAGUAAGAAUAUAUUUUAAGUUUUCAGUUUCGACCCCAUUUGGUCACCGAAAAUUGUGUCGAACUGUAAUCUUUAUCAGAUAACUCUCGGAUUUUAUUUCUCACUCUACGGGAGUCAGAAAAAUAUGAAACUUUAAAUCUAGCCUCAUAAAAAUAUUUCUGGCUCAUCCUCCAAUUUUUAUAAUUUUCUGAGACUGUGCAUUUUCUGCUAAUCUAUCUGUCCCAUUUCCAACAGAAAAUUCUAGAUCUUCUGCUUUCAUUCCGAUUUCAGCACAAGUCACUUCUGAUUUAUGUUUUACUUCUAUAAACCCAAGAAAAAUAGUUUCUCACGCUAUUUUUAUUUAUUUUUAUUUUUAUACCAAAAUCUGGUAUGUUACAACCAUACUCGGUAUACCAUUGGUCACACAAUCUAUCACGUGGCAUUCCACGCUCCCGGGUCUAAGCUCGGACUACCGUCCUGACCAGAACUCUGCCCUACUCGUAGGUACCGGGCCGCUGUCACUCACAGCUGACUGCGCCUGCCCAAAGGGCCCAGGCUCCACAGUCCACAAAUGGUCCAGGCACGGGUCGUCCCCAAGCACUACCCACCGUCGUCGUUCUACACGACAUACUCUACCGAGUCACACGUACCAAUAUCAGCUCUUAUGCACCUAGUGCGAGUCACCAGUCCCACGAGUGAUCCAUGGCACCCUUCACACCUAGCAAUGCUCAAGUGCUACUGCCAACUCACUCACUCGGCUGAAUACGCAUCCGCACUCUACGGGUCUCUACACUCGAGCGCUCUACGCCUCUACAGCGUUCCACACGAAGUCCAACAUUAGGCAAUCUUGCCUAUGCACACCGGCCGCACGAGCACAACCGCCUACCUCACCUUGAGGUACUACUAGGCCCACGUGCUCAAACUUGGCCACUAAUCGACCGUUCUCUCAACAGUGAUGCUACUUUCACUAUUCGAUCUACCGGAAUAACAUCCGAAAUUUUCGGACUACCCGGGUGCCCAUAGGCAUUAUGGCUCGACUCUCGCAAUUUACUACUUAUAUUGCUCUGAGAGUCAUUUCGACACUUCUAUCUGUACCGCGAGUCUCACUUCUCGCCAUAGAUUACUUCUAGCACUUCGCUAUUGCCAUCUGGCUCUAUACCUGUACUGGCAGGUACUACGCCCUCACAUAAUACAAAACUCCAUUUCUAGAGCAAUCAAAUCUAUCUCCAAAAAUCCACCAUGGGAGAGAGCUUAGAAGCUUACCUCUCCAAGAAGCUCCAACCAAGGAGAAAAUGAGGAAGAUGAGGAAGACCUCCUUCUUCUUCUUUUUCUUCCCUUUCCUUUCUUCUUCCUCCUCUUGUCUGCUAGAGAAAGAAAGAGAGAUAUGAGAGGGUGUGUUGGUGAGAAAUAAGAGAAAAGAGCUCUCAUAUCCCUCACAUAGCCCCACAUGUUGCAUAAGUGCAAACAAGCCCCUCAACUUUUAUUCUUUUACACUGCCCUGACUGGGCCAUUUUCGGGUUCGGGGACCAGUCUCCCCGACGAGGGACCGGUCUCCGAGAGCUUCUCCCCGCAGUCAGCAGAGCUCACACCCGAUGCAACCGGUCUUUCUUUGGGGGACCGGUCUCUUAGGGACCGGUCUCUCCAGCAGGGACCGGUCUCCGAGAGCUGUCCACCAAGGACUUAGCCGAUUUUUCUCUCCUCUUGCUACCUGCGCGUUUGGGGACCGAUCACUCCCCACAGGGACCGGUCUCCGAGAACAGAAAACUUACAGUUUGCAGAUUUUCAUUUCCAAGGCUCUCGAAGAUCCCCAGUAAUGCACUUUUGCAUUAUUUGACGCCUCCGACCUUUCCAAAGCGUACCAACCUCGCUCUUUGGUCAAUUUGACCAAGGUUCGAUACUUGGUUACCGAAAUUUCGGUAUAUUACAUACCCACUCGAUAACUAGCCGAUCCCGGACAAAGUCCAACUCUCGGCUCUGGAGAUUUCACUUCGUUACGACCAUACUAUAUGGUACACCCCUGGUGUUAAAUCGGUAACACAUGUUCCAGAACUUCGAUUUUGCACCGCUUCGACUCCAAUUCGCGUCGAGCAAUGCUAAAACUAUUCUAACUCUUUUAGAACUUAAUUCUAACUCUUCCAACAUUAUUGGAAUAUCAAUUGGACUUUGUCCAACUACUUCUCUCGACGCACUUUGGUCAAUUUGACCAAAAGUGAUCUAACACGAUGAGGAUUUCGUUAAUUUCUCAAAGGUCACAAGGGCCGCCAAAACUCGCGAAGUUCCAAGUCUCCACUCGCCUCAAAUUGCCCAGGGACACCGCUUGGCCCAUCCCGUGCCGAUCUAAAAGAAGAUCGCCUACAUAGUACAAUCGCUUCCUAAAACGCGACAACUCUAUUAAUCCUCGACCAUCUAGGUCGAACACAAGACACUUAAUACCGACUCAAAUCAGGCGAAAGUCACGCAAGGCUGUCUAUUCUCAUUACUCGGUUUCAUGUUGUAUGCAUCCAACAUGAACACCCUCGGUUGAGAAUAAACCACACCUUGAAUCUACCUCUAACAUCCGUUUUAGAGGUUUACAACAUAACCCAAUCAAUUUAUCUUUCGCCAAUAGUCACAAGUCCUCGUCUCUCACGAGCCUUAAUCUCCUAUGGUUUACUAUCCUAGGGUCUCCUAGGUCCAACUAAACCAUUUUCUAUUAUUCUUUUUGUGUUCUUUUUAUGCUCUGAUACCAUCUUAUCUGUCACGCCCCGAGCCCGCCUAUUUGGUCGGUUUCGGGCAUGCCAACAGAUCGCCGAACGGAUAGGGUUUCUCCUGUACUGCGGACAGAGUCUCCCCUGUACGUUCAAGGCAUAGCAAUCAAUACAAUGUACGAAGUUCCAACCAGGAACACAUUUCAAUCAAGAUUGCAUAAUGGAAGGUAUCAAACAACAUAACACAUCCUAUAUUAUUACAUUCAUUCAUAUUCAUGCAUUUUACACCUCAACUACCAUUCCUUUUUCAUCCAAAUGCAAUCUAAAUUAUUACAACAUUUAUAUCUUUAAUACAUCAUGUUACAUUGUGUUCUUUUUAUUUCUUUAACCCCUAAGGUAUGUCGACGGGGUACUGCUAGCUCUGGUCUCUGGGGUAGGGCGCUAUCUACGAAGCUACGCCCUUUCCUCGCGCUGCCGCGCUGCUCACGUGCGAACCUGUAAACACCCCAAAACCACGUGGAGUGAGAACCAACUCCAUGGUUCCCAGUGGGUACGGCCACCCAAGGGAAAAGUUCGACCAAUAGGUCCAAGGGAGGCAAUUGCAAGUUAGUUCAAUAAACAGAUAGAUAUAUAUCUUGAUUAUGCAACGAAUAAAACCAUGCAUUGCCUCACGAAUGCAAUAAUGCAAUGCUAUAUGCAAAUCAUG